GACGAACGCUGGCGGCGUGCCUAAUACAUGCAAGUAGAACGCUGAAGGAGGAGCUUGCUUCUCUGGAUGAGUUGCGAACGGGUGAGUAACGCGUAGGUAACCUGCCUGGUAGCGGGGGAUAACUAUUGGAAACGAUAGCUAAUACCGCAUAAUAGUAGAUGUUGCAUGACAUUUACUUAAAAGGUGCAAUUGCAUCACUACCAGAUGGACCUGCGUUGUAUUAGCUAGUUGGUGGGGUAACGGCUCACCAAGGCGACGAUACAUAGCCGACCUGAGAGGGGGAUCGGCCACACUGGGACUGAGACACGGCCCAGACUCCUACGGGAGGCAGCAGUAGGGAAUCUUCGGCAAUGGACGAAAGUCUGACCGAGCAACGCCGCGUGAGUGAAGAAGGUUUUCGGAUCGUAAAGCCCUGUUGUAAGAGAAGAACGAGUGUGAGAGUGGAAAGUUCACACUGUGACGGUAGCUUACCAGAAAGGGACGGCUAACUACGUG
RNAcentral lists this ribosomal RNA (495 nucleotides) under uncultured bacterium. Its description in RNAcentral is "partial 16S ribosomal RNA". It matches the Rfam family "Bacterial small subunit ribosomal RNA", at positions 28 to 507 of the family's 1533-position model. The record is from RNAcentral.